GCGGGAAUAGCUCAGUUGGUAGAGCAGGACCUUGCCAAGGUCGGGGUCGCGAGUUCGAGUCUCGUUUCCCGCUCCA
This 76-nucleotide transfer RNA is filed under the name Escherichia coli. Its description in RNAcentral is "tRNA-Gly". It matches the Rfam family "tRNA". Rfam says of the family: Transfer RNA (tRNA) molecules are approximately 80 nucleotides in length. Their secondary structure includes four short double-helical elements and three loops (D, anti-codon, and T loops). RNAcentral also lists the same sequence under 2 other names. Lineage: Bacteria; Pseudomonadati; Pseudomonadota; Gammaproteobacteria; Enterobacterales; Enterobacteriaceae. The record is from RNAcentral.